Molecule: ribosomal RNA, 1101 nt
Filed under: Strombidinopsis acuminata
Lineage: Eukaryota; Ciliophora; Spirotrichea; Choreotrichida; Strombidinopsidae
Description: partial Eukaryotic small subunit ribosomal RNA
Rfam family: Eukaryotic small subunit ribosomal RNA
Source: RNAcentral
ACCUGGUUGAUCCUGCCAGUAGUCAUAUGCUUGUCUCAAAGAUUAAGCCAUGCAUGUCUAAGUAUAAGCGAGUAUACUGUGAAACUGCGAAUGGCUCAUUAAAUCAGUUAUGGUUUAUUUGAUGGUACCUUGCUACUUGGAUAACCGUAGUAAUUCUAGAGCUAAUACAUGCAGGAGUUCCCGACUUCGGAAGGGAUGUAUUUAUUAGAUAAGAAACCAAACCGGUCUCCGGUUGCGUGCUGAGUCAUACUAACUGCUCGAAUCGCACGGCUUUACGCUGGCGAUGGUUCAUUCAAAUUUCUGCCCUAUCAGCUUUCGAUGGUAGGAUAGAGGCCUACCAUGGCGUUAACGGGUAACGGAGAAUUAGGGUUCGAUUCCGGAGAGGGAGCCUGAGAAACGGCUACCACAUCUAAGGAAGGCAGCAGGCGCGUAAAUUGCCCGAAUCCUGACACAGGGAGGUAGUGACAAGAAAUAACAAUACAGGGCUCUUCGAGUCUUGUAAUUGGAAUGAGUACAAUUUACAUCUCUUCACGAGGAUCAAUUGGAGGGCAAGUCUGGUGCCAGCAGCCGCGGUAAUUCCAGCUCCAAUAGCGUAUAUUAAAGUUGUUGCAGUUAAAAAGCUCGUAGUUUGAUUUCUGGACGGGCGCUAACACCCGCUUGUUUAGUGAGGGGUCGGCGCCCGCCCAUCCUUCUGUUAACGCCACCGGCAUUCACUUGCUGGCGGCGGGCUCAGAUAUUUUACCUUGAGAAAAUUAGAGUGUUUCAGGCAGGCUUGCGCCUAGAUACAUUAGCAUGGAAUAAUAGAAUAGGACUUUGGCCUCUUCUGUUGGUCUGAGGGGUUAGAGUAAUGAUUAAUAGGGAUAGUUGGGGGCAUUAGUACUUAACUGCUAGAGGUGAAAUUCUCAGAUUUGUUAAAGACUAACUUAUGCGAAAGCAUUUGCCAAGGAUGUUUUCAUUAAUCAAGAACGAAAGUUAGGGGAUCAAAGACGAUCAGAUACCGUCCUAGUCUUAACCAUAAACUAUGCCGACUCGGGAUCGGGGGCGAGCAUUAUCCGUCUUCGGCACCGUAUGAGAAAUCAAAGUCUUUGGGUUCCGGGGGGA